UACGCAGGUGGCAAGCGUUAUCCGGAUUUAUUGGGCGUAAAGGGAACGCAGGCGGUCUUUUAAGUCUGAUGUGAAAGCCUUCGGCUUAACCGGAGUAGUGCAUUGGAAACUGGGAGACUUGAGUGCAGAAGAGGAGAGUGGAACUCCAUGUGUAGCGGUGAAAUGCGUAGAUAUAUGGAAGAACACCAGUGGCGAAAGCGGCUCUCUGGUCUGUAACUGACGCUGAGGUUCGAAAGCGUGGGUAGCGAACAGG
This 253-nucleotide ribosomal RNA is filed under the name uncultured bacterium. Its description in RNAcentral is "partial 16S ribosomal RNA". It matches the Rfam family "Bacterial small subunit ribosomal RNA", at positions 524 to 776 of the family's 1533-position model. The record is from RNAcentral.